Molecule: transfer RNA, 71 nt
Filed under: Actinia tenebrosa (Australian red waratah sea anemone)
Lineage: Eukaryota; Metazoa; Cnidaria; Anthozoa; Actiniaria; Actiniidae
Also listed under: 1 other name
Description: tRNA-Gly
Rfam family: tRNA
About the family: Transfer RNA (tRNA) molecules are approximately 80 nucleotides in length. Their secondary structure includes four short double-helical elements and three loops (D, anti-codon, and T loops).
Source: Rfam by way of RNAcentral
GCACUGGUGGUUCAAUGGUAGAAUACUCGCCUGCCACGCGGGUGAUCCGGGUUCGAUUCCCGGCCAGUGCA